CAGCCGCCGCGGUAAUACGGAGGGUGCAAGCGUUAAUCGGAAUUACUGGGCGUAAAGCACACGCAGGCGGUUUGUUAAGUCAGAUGUGAGAUCCCCGAGCUUAACUUGGGAACUGCAUUUGAAACUGGCAAGCUAGAGUCUUGUAGAGGGGGGUAGAAUUCCAGGUGUAGCGGUGAAAUGCGUAGAGAUCUGGAGGAAUACCGGUGGCGAAGGCGGCCCCCUGGACAAAGACUGACGCUCAGGUGCGAAAGCGUGGGGAGCAAACAGGAUUAGAUACCCCUGUAGUCCCUGUCUCUUAUAC
This 301-nucleotide ribosomal RNA is filed under the name uncultured bacterium. RNAcentral's name for it is "partial 16S ribosomal RNA". It matches the Rfam family "Bacterial small subunit ribosomal RNA", at positions 509 to 807 of the family's 1533-position model. The record is from RNAcentral.